UUAUCUUUGAUUCUUCGGAUGAAGAGGUUUGUGACUGAGUGGCGGACGGGUGAGUAACGCGUGGGUAACCUGCCUCAUACAGGGGGAUAACAGUUAGAAAUGACUGCUAAUACCGCAUAAGACCACGGAGCCGCAUGGCUCCGUGGGAAAAACUCCGGUGGUAUGAGAUGGACCCGCGUCUGAUUAGGUAGUUGGUGGAGUAACGGCCUACCAAGCCGACGAUCAGUAGCCGACCUGAGAGGGUGACCGGCCACAUUGGGACUGAGACACGGCCCAAACUCCUACGGGAGGCAGCAGUGGGGAAUAUUGCACAAUGGGGGAAACCCUGAUGCAGCGACGCCGCGUGAGCGAAGAAGUAUUUCGGUAUGUAAAGCUCUAUCAGCAGGGAAGAAAAUGACGGUACCUGACUAAGAAGCACCGGCUAAAUACGUGCCAGCAGCCGCGGUAAUACGUAUGGUGCAAGCGUUAUCCGGAUUUACUGGGUGUAAAGGGAGCGUAGACGGCUGUGUAAGUCUGAAGUGAAAGCCCGGGGCUCAACCCCGGGACUGCUUUGGAAACUAUGCAGCUAGAGUGUCGGAGAGGUAAGUGGAAUUCCCAGUGUAGCGGUGAAAUGCGUAGAUAUUGGGAGGAACACCAGUGGCGAAGGCGGCUUACUGGACGAUGACUGACGUUGAGGCUCGAAAGCGUGGGGAGCAAACAGGAUUAGAUACCCUGGUAGUCCACGCUGUAAACGAUGACUACUAGGUGUCGGG
Molecule: ribosomal RNA, 752 nt
Filed under: uncultured bacterium
Lineage: Bacteria
Description: bacterial SSU rRNA
Rfam family: Bacterial small subunit ribosomal RNA
Source: RNAcentral